Molecule: ribosomal RNA, 395 nt
Filed under: Candidatus Bathyarchaeota archaeon
Lineage: Archaea; Thermoproteati; Candidatus Bathyarchaeota
Description: bacterial SSU rRNA
Rfam family: Archaeal small subunit ribosomal RNA
Source: RNAcentral
AGAGGGCCGGGCACACGAGGGGGACUGCCGCCGCUAAGGCGGAGGAAGGAGCGGGCUACGGCAGGUCAGUAUGCCCCGAAUCCCCCGGGCCACACGCGAGCUGCAAUGGCAGGGACAAUGGGUUCCGACCCCGAAAGGGGGAGGAAAUCCCGAAACCCUGCCUCAGUUGGGAUCGAGGGCUGCAACCCGCCCUCGUGAACAUGGAAUCCCUAGUAAUCGCGGGUCAUCAACCCGCGGUGAAUACGUCCCCGCCCCUUGCACACACCGCCCGUCGCUCCACCCGACUGAGGCCUAGACGAGGCGUGGUUUCUUGGCCGCGUCGAGUCUAGGCUUCGGGAGGGGGGAGAAGUCGUAACAAGGUGGCCGUAGGGGAACCUGCGGCCGGAUCACCUCCU